This 100-nucleotide ribosomal RNA is filed under the name Gorilla gorilla gorilla (western lowland gorilla). Lineage: Eukaryota; Metazoa; Chordata; Mammalia; Primates; Hominidae. The record is from RNAcentral.
GUCUACAGCCAUACCACCCUGAACACACCUGAUCUCAUCUGAUCUCAGAAGUUAAGCAGGGUCAGGCCAUCAGGCCUGAUUAUUCCUUAGACAGAAGACA